Molecule: long non-coding RNA, 308 nt
Filed under: Bos taurus (domestic cattle)
Lineage: Eukaryota; Metazoa; Chordata; Mammalia; Artiodactyla; Bovidae
Description: long non-coding RNA NONBTAT009129
Source: RNAcentral
CACGGCAAAUUAGGUAGAUUUUAAUAAAUUACUUAUCUCUCUGAAUACUUUACAUAUGCUUAAGAAGGAACAUAGCCUGUUUGCAAACAGUGAAAACCCACAGCCUAUAAAAAUCCUUUGAAGAAAAUGACAAAUAAAAAAGUAAAUUAAAAAAUGAAAUGCAUUAUAUCCUAGACCUCUAGAGACAAUUCCUUUGCAGCAUUGAUUCACAGCUCCAUUAAAAAUAUCAAUUAAAUCCUUCAGUGAGAUUGAGUAAAAGCUAGAAAAUUAACUUUCUGAGCUGCUUUUCAAGGAUCUGGUUAUCCAGA